This 326-nucleotide unclassified non-coding RNA is filed under the name soil metagenome. RNAcentral's name for it is "partial contains 5.8S ribosomal RNA, internal transcribed spacer 2, and large subunit ribosomal RNA". The stretch from base 1 to 120 matches the Rfam family "5.8S ribosomal RNA", at positions 35 to 154 of the family's 154-position model. The record is from RNAcentral.
GAUGAAGAACUCAGCGAAAUGCGAUAAGUAAUGUGAAUUGCAGAAUUCAGUGAAUCAUCGAAUCUUUGAACGCACAUUGCGCCCCUUGGUAUUCCGAGGGGCAUGCCUGUUCGAGCGUCAUAUUAACCACUCCCGCUUGCGGGGUCUUGGGCUUCGCCUCCGGGCGGGCCUUAAAAUCAGUGGCGGUGCCGUCGGGCUCUACGCGUAGUAAAUUUUCUCGCGAUAGGGUCCCGGUGGAUGCUUGCCAACAACCCCCAACUUCUUAAGGUUGACCUCGGAUCAGGUAGGGAUACCCGCUGAACUUAAGCAUAUCAAUAAGCGGAGGA